Molecule: long non-coding RNA, 424 nt
Organism: Ipomoea triloba (trilobed morning glory)
Lineage: Eukaryota; Viridiplantae; Streptophyta; Magnoliopsida; Solanales; Convolvulaceae
Exons: 2
Source: RefSeq, a predicted model, not a curated record
CGGCACAUGGUAUUCCUUAAUUUUCAAGUUGUUGGAGGAAGACUGCUUUGGUUAUGUCAGGCUUGUUUGCUUGUGUAAAUAAUAGUGUUUUGGACUUCAAAUAGCCUGUUGUGAAAACUGAUUUUUACAUAGUUCAAGCAGCAGCCAACUUCUUUGUGUAAUCUGGAAGUGAUUAUUUGAAUGUUAGCAAUCAAAUAUUUUGUACUUUUGUUUGCAAUGGUUUUGUAUCAGCUAUUGGAAUUGAGUGUAGUAGGGGGGGAUACAUGCUGGAAAACUAAACCACAUAGUCAUUUAAAAUGUAGUCAAUUCUGGUUUUAAUAUCCUUUGCACUCUUGAAUUUUUUUAAGGAGGUAAAUUGUGCAAUGAUUGAAUCUUGCACUCUGCAGCUUUACUAGAAUAAAAUGAAGAACUAAGUUGUCACUGU